GACGAACGCUGGCGGCAUGCUUAACACAUGCAAGUCGAACGAAACCUUCGGGUCUAGGUGCGCACGUGUGCGUAACGCGUGGGAACCAGCCCUUAGGUACGGUAUAACUCCCCGAGAGGGGUCCUAAUACAGGUUAAUGUAUUCGGACCUAAGAUGUAUCGCCUUUGGAUGGGCGCGCGUUGGAUUCGCUGGUUGGUAGUGUAAUAGCAUACCAAGGCGACGAUCCAUAGCUGGUCUGAGAGGAUGAUCAGCCGCACUGGGACUGAGGCACGGCCCAGAAUCGGAGGGGAGGGAGGAGUGGGGAAUAUUAGAGGAGGGGCGAAAGCCUAACAAAGCAGUGCGGCGGGAGUGAUGAAGGCCUUAGGGUUGUAAAGCUCUUUGAGCCGGGAUGAUAAUGACAGUAACGGGAGAAUAAGCUCCGGCUAACUACGUG
This 433-nucleotide ribosomal RNA is filed under the name uncultured bacterium. RNAcentral describes it as "partial 16S ribosomal RNA". It matches the Rfam family "Bacterial small subunit ribosomal RNA", at positions 28 to 507 of the family's 1533-position model. The record is from RNAcentral.